UACGUAUGGUGCAAGCGUUGUUCGGAAUCAUUGGGCGUAAAGGGUAUGUAGGCGGAAUUGUAAGUCAGGUGUGAAACCUAUGGGCUUAACCCAUAGCCUGCACUUGAUACUGCGGUUCUAGAGUUUGGGAGAGGUAAGCGGAAUUCCUGGUGUAGCGGUGAAAUGCGUAGAUAUCAGGAGGAACACCGGUGGCGAAAGCGGCUUACUAGCCUAAAACUGACGCUGAGAUACGAAAGUGUGGGGAGGAAACAGG
RNAcentral lists this ribosomal RNA (253 nucleotides) under uncultured bacterium. RNAcentral describes it as "partial 16S ribosomal RNA". It matches the Rfam family "Bacterial small subunit ribosomal RNA", at positions 524 to 776 of the family's 1533-position model. The record is from RNAcentral.